CAGAAGCCACAGAAAUCCUCCUCAUCAAAAACAUGACUUUGAUCUCCGUCCUCAUCUGGACUCUCCUCUGCUGCUGCUUCACAGAGUCCAGAGGCCAGGUCACAGUGACUCAGCCUGGAGCAGUGAGCUCUGCUGUGGGAGGCUCCGUCACCAUCAACUGUAGGACCAGUCAGAAUGUUUAUGUUGGGAGCAAUUACCACCAUUUAGCCUGGUACCAACAGAGAGAUGGAGAAACUCCUAAACUGCUCAUUUACUGGGCUAGCACUCGACCAUCAGGGAUUCCAGCUCGUUUUACAGGCAGUGGAUCAAACUCUGACUUCACUCUGACCAUCAGUGGAGUUCAGACUGAAGAUGCAGCAGUUUACUACUGUCAGAGUCUACACUACAUCAACAGUCAGCAUGUGUUCACACAGUGAAAAAGCGUCGUACAA
Non-coding RNA from Larimichthys crocea (large yellow croaker), 431 nucleotides. The record is from the annotation of a RefSeq genome assembly. Lineage: Eukaryota; Metazoa; Chordata; Actinopteri; Sciaenidae.